This is a non-coding RNA of Latescibacteria bacterium DG_63, 75 nucleotides long. Lineage: Bacteria; Pseudomonadati; Candidatus Latescibacterota. The record is from Rfam.
GCCCCCGUAGCUCAGUAAGGAUAGAGCAGCGGUUUCCUAAACCGCGUGUCGCGUGUUCGAGUCACGCCGGGGGCA